GACGAACGCUGGCGGCGUGCUUAACACAUGCAAGUCGAACGGUGAAGCAGAGCUUGCUCUGUGGAUCAGUGGCGAACGGGUGAGUAACACGUGAGUAACCUGCCCUUGACUCUGGGAUAAGCGUUGGAAACGACGUCUAAUACCGGAUACGAGCUGAGACCGCAUGGUCAUCAGUUGGAAAGAUUUUUUGGUCAAGGAUGGACUCGCGGCCUAUCAGCUUGUUGGUGAGGUAAUGGCUCACCAAGGCGACGACGGGUAGCCGGCCUGAGAGGGUGACCGGCCACACUGGGACUGAGACACGGCCCAGACUCCUACGGGAGGCAGCAGUGGGGAAUAUUGCACAAUGGGCGCAAGCCUGAUGCAGCAACGCCGCGUGAGGGAGGACGGCCUUCGGGUUGUAAACCUCUUUUAGUAGGGAAGAAGCGAAAGUGACGGUACCUGCAGAAAAAGCACCGGCUAACUACGU
RNAcentral lists this ribosomal RNA (466 nucleotides) under uncultured bacterium. Its description in RNAcentral is "partial 16S ribosomal RNA". It matches the Rfam family "Bacterial small subunit ribosomal RNA", at positions 28 to 506 of the family's 1533-position model. The record is from RNAcentral.